UUCUCUCUCCUUCAUUAUCUCAAAACCCUAAAAUCCAUAGCCGCUCCCCUCCCCUUUGCACACACAAGCCAGUACAAACACACACGUUUUUGUGGAAAUCCGAAGCAUGAAGCUUUGGUGUGGUUGCAAUCGAUGGGAAAAAGAUCGAGGUGUAACCGCUGGAUUUCAUAUAGAUCUGGUGGCGAUGACUAGAUUGAUGAGGUUUUGGUUGGAAUUAGCGACUGGAUGCUUAAGUUUAGGAAAACAAGGGUUUGGUAAGUAGAGAUUCCGGCGAUAUAUUGCAUAAACAAGCUUUCUAUAACAAGAAGUAGAAGGCGGAGGUGCUUCUAGGCCCCAACUGGGUCAUGGGUUUCGAAGUGAUCUAUUUAAGAUGGUUGCAGAUAUGAAGCCUGCAUUUAUCAGAUUUCCAGGUUUAUCUAUACUAUAUAGGAAGAUGAAGAGAGAGAGGUUGAGAUGGUUUCCGUGCUCUAGAAUGAUGAUAUUGAAAACUGAACAAAUGUUUUGUGACCAAUAACAUUUUGGUUUGGGUUACUUUUUGUAUCUUAUUUUUAUUAUUAUACAGGAAUGAUGAUAUUGAAAACUGAACAAAUGUUUUGUGAAACUGGAGAGAAGUGGCCUGAUAUUAUCCCAGAGGAAGAUAGUUCCAAGUGGUGCAUCAGGUGACGAUUAAUGGUUGGGCUUGCAAGGUGGUGUUGAAGCUGUGGAUUCGAGUUUUUGACUGAUUUAGAAGGUACAAAUGCACACUUGAGGACU
Molecule: long non-coding RNA, 753 nt
Organism: Helianthus annuus (common sunflower)
Lineage: Eukaryota; Viridiplantae; Streptophyta; Magnoliopsida; Asterales; Asteraceae
Exons: 5
Source: RefSeq, a predicted model, not a curated record